GGUUGAGGGUGCCUAACACCUUCCCUCGACCUGAUUAUAAUAAUCUUACCCGUUCUCUUAAUUGCAUAAGGUUUCCUAUUCGCCUUGGUAGAAUAGGUGGCAACUCUAAAAGUCUAAUUUUUAGGGCAGGUUGCUACACAUACACGAAGAACUUUUCAUUUCAGACAGGGUGGAAAACCGUAUUUUGGAUCCGCUACAAUAGCCAUCCAUUUCUCCCUUUUUGUGUGAUGCAAAUAGAUUCACUUCUUCAGAUUGAGAAUCAUUUCUCAAACUGCAUCAUAAGAGGUUGUGCAAGAGGAGGUUGUGCAGGUUGUGCUACAGGAGAUUGUGCAGAUGGUUGUUCGUCAGCCAUGUGGUUGAAUGCUUAGGGUUUCGGGUUUCGAGAGUAUAUUUUGGGAAGAGGUUAAGAUUAGGGUUACGGGUUUGAGUAAGAUCGUGGAUGUGACCCGACAAAGGAAUUUCAUAUCUUCAGUCAAACUCAUCAGGAGGAACCUGCAAUGGAAUUCAUAUGGAGGAACCUGCAAGGGCAAAAGUGAAAAGUAAAAUACUUUUAAGAGAGGAGUUUACCGAUUUCUUAAGCAGUUCCAAAUAAACUUUACUAGAAGGUUUAUGUUAAUAUCUCUAGUGAACUGAUUCCCAAGGCACUAAUUCUGACGGUAUAAUGUCUAAGUUACAUUUGAACUCAAGAUCUUUAAGUUGAAAGGCACUUGAAUUCUUGACCUAGCUUUUUUGGGUCUUAUAUAUCUAUCAAAUAAGAAAACAAAUGUACUUAAAAAUACCAAUUUUGCCCUUUGUUUAAAAUUCUCCACAUAUUGUAACUAAUUGUCUGCCUGGUCCAAGUAUUACUACUACUUUGUUACUUUGUUGAUGUUGUUGUUUUUCGCUAGCAAUUUGGCCUUCAUAUGACGCUUAGGACUUCAAGUGAAACCAAACCACCACUUUAUAACCUUCCCAAUGCAAAUAUUUUUGAACUGGUUUCAGAAAAAGCAAACUCACUUCUGCCUCCAUCCACUUCUUCUCCCAAUAACUUCAACAAUUUCUCUCUAUCUCUCUCUAUCUCUCUCUCUCUCUAACUUCUUUCGUCUUCCUCUUCAUAUUCUUCCUUCUCCCUCAUCUUCUUCGUCUUCCUCAAUGUUGUUUUGUUCUUUUGGUAUCUCACUGAAGGAAGAGACACAAAUGAUCCCUCACCACUACAACACGCCAUAGUCGAUGCAUCUCACAACUCUGAAAGGAAUACGACAGUCGUCUUUGUCGUUGAUAUUUUGUUUUCGGUCACAUCAUCACCAUCCUCUUGGUUGUUCGCUCACCACCCUUUAUUACCGUCAAUCACUGAAGCUCGUGUUUCAGAUCAGGCAAGAUCCAUCGUGAACUACUCUUUUUUCUGCGAAACUGUUGCGGUUGUAACCCAUCAUCCAAAAACAUCACAAACGUAAGUUAUGGUCAUGUGAAACCAGACAUUGUUGCAUAUGGACAGGACAUAAUGGGAUCAAAGAUUAGUUCGGGCUGUAAAAGUUUAUCAGGAACCAGUGUUGCAAGUCCGGUAGUUGCUGGUGUUGUAUGUUUGCUUGUCAGUGUAUGUUUUUUAUAUUAUCAAUCUUGGACACUCACUCUCCAUAGAGCCCUUCGUAAAGUAAGUAUAUAAUUCGUGUUGAAGCUGCGCAAUUGUAUGCAUCCCUGCAGCCAAGGAGAUGCUAAACUACUUAAAUGUUAAGUCUAAACCUGGUUUCACUGCUCAAAAAAUUAUAUUGACCGAUGUAAGAGAAGAAACAAUUGUUUAUAUCAAUUUGUUUUUAAGAAUGUUGUUUAUACAUUGGUUUUGUAGUGCUACAGCAGUGGCGUUUUGCGUCUAUAGACAGGUUUUGGAAGUCCCAGUUUGAAGUCUUUUGAAUGUGGAAUAUGUUGGUCACUAGAGUCCAAUCUGUUGGUCUAUUUUGGAUGUGAAUUGCCAAUGUUUUAAGACUUAAAUUCUGAAGUCAUUUUGCCAAUAAAACAUAAAUAAAGUACUUGGUGACAAUUAUUAUUAAUUGUAUAAGGUUUGUCUAAUGAUGACGAUGUAAAAAACGUGGUGGAAUAAGAAAUAUCACUGUGAAUGGAGUUAUCUAAUAACUGUGGGAAAAAUUGUUGCUGCUACUACUAAUUGUGAACUGCAAGAUCUUUUUAACAUUAUUAUACCAAAUCAAUUGGUCUUGCUAAAUUCUAUUCUUACAUUCAUUGAGAAUAAAUGAUUUUGUUAUCAAAUCCUGAUUAUGUUUUGAAGGUAUGGAUUAUCUUUUAUUCUGUGCUAUGGUUCUGUACAAAUUGAUAAAUCGCUCGCCUUCUCCUUUGGGUGGAGGGAUUUGUUAAAGUGUGAUAAUUCGGAGCAGGACUGGUUUAAAACAAUGUUUACUGCAGGGUUCACAGCUUUGAACCAUAUUUCUACAUGAGCUGCCCUCCUAGAAUGGGACCAGAUAAUAUCUCCCAUUUUCAUCAAAUUCUCAAGACUAGGAUGAGAGAAGCGGAAGCCAAUAGAAAUAACAAUGUAGAAAAAAAAUUCGUCGAGUUGACUGGAGUUAUAUAAUAGCAAGUUUACUCGUCGAGUUGUUAUGGUGUUGUGAGGGUUAUGGACAAGGAUUUUAUCAGAGAUUGUCACCAGAUUGAAAAGUUCUACAAGCUUAAAUUGCAACUUCCGACAACAGUCUGGACGUGAAGUCAACAGAGCAGUGCAUCUUUUCAGCAGUUAUGUUUGCGGCAGCGUUGCUUUUAAAUGACUUAGUAUCGUGCUUCAACCAAUAGAAUCAUCAUCGUGUAGCUGCAUUGGCUGAACUCGGUGUUGGUUUCAUGUUUUCCUAUUUCAGACCUAAACUCGGUGUCUUUUUUGCAUCGAUUCGGUAUCUUUCAGGUAAACACCAACUCAUGUAAUCAGUUCUGUUUUAUAUCAGAGCUGCUAAACUGAGUUUUUAUAUGUCAGUCAUGUUGUUUUGUAUUGCUUAGGCUAUUAAUAAUUGCAAAUAAGGUGCUUACUUUGCUAUCAGGUUAGCUUCUUGUAUUUCAAUGUGUAUACAGAAUUACAGGCGAAAUCCAACGAAACUCGGGCAUAUAUCGACGCGGUUUGUGGGAAUUCAUCUCAUGACAGCCAAGAAGCUACAACCUAAGUGUCUGCUACAAAGUCAAACACAUCAUUGACAUUGGCCCGAAAAGAGGUGUUAGCUGCGGGAGCAUUUCCAUGCCAACAUGACAGAAGCAUUAUAAUAUGCCGCCGCAGUCGUUAAGAGUAACAGUCUGAGUUCCACACUCGGAGCAGUUACAAAUGCAUUAUAGCAGCAAUACUUGAGCGGUUAAAGCAUUUAUCCGAGCACUACUAGAGAUUGACCGACUUGAGGCUCUCGACAAAGUCUCCGGAUUUGAAACGAUGCCAAACACCGUGUCGUCGAUACCACUAAAAGAUAAGUUAUUUUUUACUUAUUCUGUUAACUAAAUCAAUUGACCAUUGUCGUUCAAUAUGCACUGAUAAUAUGUCAAACGAUGUUGGAUUGUAUGCUAGCUUGUCAAAAGGAAUUAAAUACGUAAUUCUGACAUUUGUGUGAGAGGAGUACAAAUUAAAAACGUAUAUGACGCGGAUCAGAAGCAGGUGAGGCAAUUAUAUGGUUCAUGUUACAUAUUAUUGGACUUACUGAAGUUGGAUCCUUGAGGUAAAGAGCAACAUGCUGCAUUACAAACGGUGAAGCAGAGAACACGGUUUUAUAUUGCUCACGUAGUGUCUUUGUUUGAUUCUGCCAAGACUUCUCCUUGAACAAGUUUAUUAAUUUAAAUAUUUGGACUAUAACAUGGCUUAUGGCUAACAAACACUUCUAUGUCAUUGAUGAGUGGUUAUACUGAAUAUAUCGGAGGCAAAAACAAAGUGCUCAAAUCCAUGAAAAAUCACUUGGAUAGCGACGUGGUCCGAGGAAGAACUCGUAAAAGCAGCACAAGUUCCAUGCGGUGUUAUAUUGAGUAAACAAACAUAAGAUAUCCUAACUUAUUGACAUAUUUUGUAUUGUCUGCAUUACUUAAUAUAUCUAACCAUUUUUUCGAUAAGAAAGUUUCCAUCUCCCGGAGAAUAUUUUGUCGAGGAGUCAAUCUUG
Vicia villosa (hairy vetch) is the source of this 4100-nucleotide long non-coding RNA. RefSeq lists it as uncharacterized. NCBI's taxonomy places the organism in Eukaryota, Viridiplantae, Streptophyta, Magnoliopsida, Fabales, Fabaceae. The transcript has 4 exons. The record is from RefSeq and is a predicted model, not a curated record.